GGAAAGUGUAGCGUCCUCUUCAGGCUUCAUUUCGAUAAGAAAAUAAGAAGGAUAAAGCCAAAUUCGGGUUGACCCAUAGCCGGAGCAGACGCCGCCGACGAAGCCUCUCGGUCCGAUCUUUAAUCAUCAGGUAAUAAUAAAUGUACAAAGACCUACCUAAUCAACUAAUCUUUAUUGUUUAAUGAUCAAUUAUUCCAGUCAAGAAGCUUCUACUAAUAAAAAAAAAAGUUUAUGCAUAUGCAUGGUCCUGUAUUGAUUUAUCACAGUAAAGAGUUUCUCUGAGAAGAACUGUUCUUGGUUUAAAGAUUUUUCUGGGUUUUUUUUUCCUGCAAUUUUAUGCUCAUUUUUAUGUCUCCACAGUUUUUCUUUACCUUGUUGUGUGGUAGCCUUUUACCAGUCCAGAAACUGCAGGAUGUCGAGCACAAACAUGGAGGAGAAGGUAAAGGAGCAAGAGCUCUGUGAAGAUACUCUUAAAGAUCAUGUUGUUGUCGAUGAUGAUGAUGAU
Molecule: unclassified non-coding RNA, 505 nt
Filed under: Hevea brasiliensis (rubber tree)
Lineage: Eukaryota; Viridiplantae; Streptophyta; Magnoliopsida; Malpighiales; Euphorbiaceae
Source: RNAcentral